UGGGGAAUUUUGGACAAUGGGCGAAAGCCUGAUCCAGCAAUGCCGCGUGUGUGAAGAAGGCCUUCGGGUUGUAAAGCACUUUUGUCCGGAAAGAAAUCCUUGGCUCUAAUACAGUCGGGGGAUGACGGUACCGGAAGAAUAAGCACCGGCUAACUACGUGCCAGCAGCCGCGGUAAUACGUAGGGUGCAAGCGUUAAUCGGAAUUACUGGGCGUAAAGCGUGCGCAGGCGGUUUGCUAAGACCGAUGUGAAAUCCCCGGGCUCAACCUGGGAACUGCAUUGGUGACUGGCAGGCUAGAGUAUGGCAGAGGGGGGUAGAAUUCCACGUGUAGCAGUGAAAUGCGUAGAGAUGUGGAGGAAUACCGAUGGCGAAGGCAGCCCCCUGGGCCAAAUACUGACGCUCAUGCACGAAAGCGUGGGGAGCAAACAGGAUUAGAUACCCUGGUAGUCCACGCCCUAAAACGAUGUCAACUAGUUGUUGGGGAUUCAUUUCCUUAGUAACGUAGCUAACGCGUGAAGUUGACCGCCUGGGGAGUACGGUCGCAAGAUUAAAACUUAAAUGAAUUGACGGGGU
This 573-nucleotide ribosomal RNA is filed under the name uncultured bacterium. RNAcentral describes it as "partial 16S ribosomal RNA". It matches the Rfam family "Bacterial small subunit ribosomal RNA", at positions 355 to 919 of the family's 1533-position model. The record is from RNAcentral.